RNAcentral lists this long non-coding RNA (921 nucleotides) under Mustela putorius furo (domestic ferret). Its description in RNAcentral is "lncRNA (ENSMPUG00000028468.1)". Lineage: Eukaryota; Metazoa; Chordata; Mammalia; Carnivora; Mustelidae. The record is from RNAcentral.
GGUUGCACCCGGGAGCCCUGGGCAGCCUCAAGCCUCUAUAACCUUUCCCCCAACCCCCCGGGGCCCACAGCUAAGAGACUAGGGGAAGCUGCACAGAAUAAUAAAGUUUGGCUUCUCAGUCCCCCAAAAGACAGAGAGGCCCUGGCACAAAGGUGAGGUUUAGAAGCUAAAGGUGGGGUUCAGCCCAUGCUCUGCCACUGCCCCUCUAUCUAAAUGACCUCUCCUCACUGUAGAGUGGUGGUAAGCCCCAGACUCAGGUGCCCGGAGACCUGGGUCCACAUCCUGCUUCCUCCUCGUCUGCCUUAAGUUCGUGAUGUAACCUUCUGUACCCCAGUUUUCCCAUCUGAGAAACUGCGAUAAUGAUAGAUAGCAUGGCUGUGAGAAUCAGCCACCUUCAUGUACGUCAAGAUUUUGGAACAACAUCUGGCACAAAGUAAGUACCCAAUAAAUAUCAGCUGUUCUUUCUUUAUUCGUAUGAUUUAUUUACUUAUUUGAUUUUUUUUUUUUUUUUGUCUAGAAUGUCAACUCCAGGAGGGCGGAGACCUCAACUCCUUAUUCCCGGAGAUGUCCCAUGUCCCAGCACAGUGCCUGCACGUGGACGAUCAUGUAACAUUGCUUUUUGCAAUUGGAAGAAACAGUCAUAAAAAAUGGAUAAGCCCUUAUUUGUAACCGCUGAAACUUGGAAGCAACCAACACAUCCUUGGGUAGAAUGUCAGCUCUGCAAGCUGGGGCUUUCUGUCUGUCUUGUUCGGAGCUGUCUUUCCCUGUCCUCACCGGAACAGUGUGAAAAGGUGGAAUUGAAUUAAUCUCCUGGAGACACAGAAGUGGAAGUGACCUUGAAAGAGAAAUUUCAUCUGUCCCCCUGCUGCCAUACUGGACUUGGUGGCCUGUGUGGAUGUCUAUUCCUGGAGAACCUCUCAG